GUAGGGAAUAUUGCACAAUGGGCGAAAGCCUGAUGCAGCAACGCCGCGUGUGCGAAGAAGGCCUUCGGGUCGUAAAGCACUUUUCUGGGAGAUGAGAAAGGACAGUAUCCCAGGAAUAAGUCUCGGCUAACUACGUGCCAGCAGCCGCGGUAAAACGUAGGAGGCGAGCGUUAUCCGGAUUCACUGGGCGUAAAGCGCGUGCAGGCGGUUUGGUAAGUUGGGCGUGAAAGCUCCUGGCUCAACUGGGAGAGGUCGUCCAAAACUACCAGACUAGAGAGCGGUAGAGGAAAAUGGAAUUCCCGGUGUAGUGGUGAAAUGCGUAGAUAUCGGGAGGAACACCAGUGGCGAAGGCGAUUUUCUGGACCGUUUCUGACGCUCAGACGCGAAAGCUAGGGUAGCAAACGGGAUUAGAUACCCUAGUAGUCC
Molecule: ribosomal RNA, 426 nt
Filed under: uncultured bacterium
Lineage: Bacteria
Description: bacterial SSU rRNA
Rfam family: Bacterial small subunit ribosomal RNA
Source: RNAcentral